This 564-nucleotide ribosomal RNA is filed under the name uncultured bacterium. RNAcentral describes it as "bacterial SSU rRNA". It matches the Rfam family "Bacterial small subunit ribosomal RNA", at positions 338 to 916 of the family's 1533-position model. The record is from RNAcentral.
CCUACGGGAGGCAGCAGUGGGGAAUUUUCCGCAAUGGGCGAAAGCCUGACGGAGCAACGCCGCGUGAGGGACGAAGGCCUCUGGGCUGUAAACCUCUUUUCUCAAGGAAGAAGAUAUGACGGUACUUGAGGAAUAAGCCACGGCUAAUUCCGUGCCAGCAGCCGCGGUAAUACGGGAGUGGCAAGCGUUAUCCGGAAUUAUUGGGCGUAAAGCGUCCGCAGGCGGCUUUUCAAGUCUGCUGUUAAAACGUGGAGCUUAACUCCAUCAUGGCAGUGGAAACUGAAAGGCUUGAGUAUGGUAGGGGCAGAGGGAAUUCCCGGUGUAGCGGUGAAAUGCGUAGAUAUCGGGAAGAACACCAGUGGCGAAGGCGCUCUGCUGGGCCAUUACUGACGCUCAUGGACGAAAGCCAGGGGAGCGAAAGGGAUUAGAUACCCCUGUAGUCCUGGCCGUAAACGAUGAACACUAGGUGUCGGGGGAAUCGACCCCUUCGGUGUCGUAGCUAACGCGUUAAGUGUUCCGCCUGGGGAGUACGCACGCAAGUGUGAAACUCAAAKGAAUUGACGG